GAACGUACGCUGGCGGCACGCCUAACACAUGCAAGUCGAACGAAGUAGCAAUACUUAGUGGCAGACGGGUGAGUAACAUGUAGGUAUCUGCCCUUUGGCCUGGAAUAACACGAGGAAACUUGUGCUAAUACCGGAUAAGUCUUUACGGAGAAAGCUUUAUGCACCAUUGGAUGAGCCUGCACUUGAUUAGUUUGUUGGUGGGGUAAUGGCCUACCAAGACUGUGAUCAAUAGCUGAUUUGAGAGGAUGAUCAGCCACAUUGGGACUGAGACACGGCCCAAACUCCUACGGGAGGCAGCAGUGGGGAAUCUUGCACAAUGGAGGAAACUCUGAUGCAGCGAUGCCGCGUGAGUGAAGAAGGCCUUUGGGUUGUAAAGCUCUUUCGUCGGGGAAGAAAAUGACUGUACCCGAAUAAGAAGGUCCGGCUAACUUCGUGCCAGCAGCCGCGGUAAUACGAAGGGACCUAGCGUAGUUCGGAAUUACUGGGCUUAAAGAGUUCGUAGGUGGUUGAAAAAGUUGGUGGUGAAAUCCCAGAGCUUAACUCUGGAACUGCCAUCAAAACUUUUCAGCUAGAGUAUGAUAGAGGAAAGCAGAAUUUCUAGUGUAGAGGUGAAAUUCGUAGAUAUUAGAAAGAAUACCAAUUGCGAAGGCAGCUUUCUGGAUCAUUACUGACACUGAGGAACGAAAGCAUGGGUAGCGAAGAGGAUUAGAUACCCUCGUAGUCCAUGCCGUAAACGAUGUGUGUUAGACGUUGGAAAUUUAUUUUCAGUGUCGCAGCGAAAGCGAUAAACACACCGCCUGGGGAGUACGACCGCAAGGUUAAAACUCAAAUGAAUUGACGGGGACCCGCACAAGUAGUGGAGCAUGUGGUUUAAUUCGAAGAUACGCGCAGAACCUUACCAACACUUGACAUGUUCGUCGCGACUCUAAGAGAUUAGAGUUUUCGGUUCGGCCGGACGAAACACAGGUGCUGCAUGGCUGUCGUCAGCUCGUGUCGUGAGAUGCUGGGUUAAGUCCCGCAACGAGCGCAACCCUCACUUUUAGUUGCCAUCAUUAAGUUGGGCACUCUGAAAGAACUGCCAGUGAUAAGCUGGAGGAAGGUGGGGAUGACGUCAAGUCCUCAUGGCCCUUACGUGUUGGGCUACACACGUGCUACAAUGGUAUCUACAACAGGAAGCAAAACUGCGAAGUUAAGCAAAUCCCUAAAAGAUACCUCAGUUCGGAUUGCACUCUGCAACUCGAGUGCAUGAAGCUGGAAUUACUAGUAAUCGUGGAUCAGCGUGCCACGGUGAAUGCGUUCCCGGGUCUUGUACACACCGC
Molecule: ribosomal RNA, 1319 nt
Filed under: uncultured Alphaproteobacteria bacterium
Lineage: Bacteria; Pseudomonadati; Pseudomonadota; Alphaproteobacteria
Description: bacterial SSU rRNA
Rfam family: Bacterial small subunit ribosomal RNA
Source: RNAcentral